UACAGGGGGUGCAAACGUUGCUCGGAAUUACUAGGCGUAAAGCGCACGUAGGCGGCUUUCUAAGUCGGGGGUGAAAUCCUGGAGCUCAACUCCAGAACUGCCUUCGAUACUGGAGAGCUUGAGUCCGGGAGAGGUGAGUGGAACUGCGAGUGUAGAGGUGAAAUUCGUAGAUAUUCGCAAGAACACCAGUGGCGAAGGCGGCUCACUGGCCCGGUACUGACGCUGAGGUGCGAAAGCGUGGGGAGCAAACAGG
This 253-nucleotide ribosomal RNA is filed under the name uncultured bacterium. Its description in RNAcentral is "partial 16S ribosomal RNA". It matches the Rfam family "Bacterial small subunit ribosomal RNA", at positions 524 to 776 of the family's 1533-position model. The record is from RNAcentral.